Molecule: unclassified non-coding RNA, 1455 nt
Filed under: Eurytemora carolleeae
Lineage: Eukaryota; Metazoa; Arthropoda; Copepoda; Calanoida; Temoridae
Description: actin-related protein 2/3 complex subunit 4
Source: RNAcentral
UUUAGGGUAAGAGGACCUGGGAGGAUACCUUUGAGGAGCCACCCAAGUUCCACGCUUAUCUCUCCCCCUACCAGGAUCCCAAGCUGUCAAGGAGAACUAAUGGUUGCCAGUCAUAGAUAUAUAAUUUUAUUUUCCCUAACUUUUGAAUGGAUAUCUCGCGGAUUUUCUAAAAUAUGUUCAUUCAAAAUAUAGUCAAGAUAGUUCUUAGACAAAAAAUAAAUAUUGAGUAUUUCAGAAAAAAGUAAUAGACGACAUCCUCAGGAGUAUUAUCACAGUUUUAAAUAUGUCGUCUACCCUGAAGCCCUACUUGAACGCCGUGAAGAGGACCCUCGAGGCAGCCAUGUGCUUAGAGAACUUUAGCUCGCAGAAGGUCGAACGCCACAAUAAACCAGAAAUUGAGAUCCAGGAGUCCCCUGAACUAUUGCUGAACCCUGUCAUAGUUUCAAGGAAUGAGAAGGAAAGAGUUCUCAUCGAACCAUCGAUAAACUCGGUGCGUGUAUCUAUCUGUAUAAAGCAAGCAGAUGAGAUUGAGAAGUUACUCACCAACAAGUUUACCAAAUUUAUGAUGAGACGAGCAGAGAACUUUGUCAUUCUUAGGAGAAAAAAAAUCGAGGGUUAUGAUAUCAGUUUCCUGAUCACAAACUUCAACACGGAAGUCAUGCUUCGGCAUAAACUUGUAGAUUUCGUAAUUCACUUCAUGGAGGAGAUUGAUAAAGAGAUUUCCGAGAUGAAGCUGGCGGUCAAUUCACGAGCUAGGAUCUGUGCUGAGGAGUUCUUGAAACGUUUCUAAUCAAUUAAUCAAUUAAUUCAUCUUCCACGGUGUUCAGCAUCUGCCAUCAUAAAGGGAAAGAUUCCACAAUAGUCAUAAGUUGCCUUAAGCAAUUCAAUUUUACACUACAAAGAACUGACAACGUAAUUUCUAGUGACAUCUAAAUAUGAAGUUGCAAUCCCGAUUUACAAGUGUGCCCUUAUUACUUUUAUCUCAGUUUUAAGAUAAUAACUAUUUUGAACCAAAAAAAGGUCUUCAAUGUAUCAUUGUGAAUCCCGAUUUACAACGGUGCUCUUAUCACUUUUAUCUAUUUUAUUUAAGAUAAUAACUAUUUUGAACCAAAUAAAGGUCUUCAAGGUAUUAUUGUGAAUCCCGAUUUACAACGGUGCUCUUAUCACUUUUAUCUAUUUUAUUUAAGAUAAUAACUAUUUUGGACCAAAUAAAGGUCUUCAAGGUAUCAUUGUGAAUCCCGAUUUACAACGGUGCUCUUAUCACUUUUAUCUAUUUUAUUUAAGAUAAUAACUAUUUUGGACCAAAUAAGGGUCUUCAAGGUAUCAUUGUGAAUCCCGAUUUACAACGGUGCCCUUAUCAUUUUUAUCCCAAUUAUAAGAUAAUAACUAUUUUGAACCAAAUAAAGGUCUUCAAUGUAUCAUUGUGAAUCCCGAUUUACAACGGUGCUCUUAUCA